This 251-nucleotide ribosomal RNA is filed under the name uncultured bacterium. RNAcentral describes it as "partial 16S ribosomal RNA". It matches the Rfam family "Bacterial small subunit ribosomal RNA", at positions 524 to 776 of the family's 1533-position model. The record is from RNAcentral.
UACAGAGGGUGCGAGCGUUGUUCGGAAUUAUUGGGCGUAAAGGCGCGUAGGCGGCGCCACAAGUCACUUGUGAAAACUCUGGCUCAACUCAGAGCCUGCAAGCGAAACUGUGGUGCUGGAGUAUGGGAGAGGUGCGUGGAAUUCCGGUGUAGCGGUGAAAUGCGUAGAUAUCGGGAGGAACACCCUGUGGCGAAAGCGGCGCACUGGACCAUAACUGACGCUGAGGCGCGAAAGCUAGGGGAGCAAACAGG